Molecule: ribosomal RNA, 147 nt
Filed under: uncultured archaeon
Lineage: Archaea
Description: partial 16S ribosomal RNA
Rfam family: Archaeal small subunit ribosomal RNA
Source: RNAcentral
CGGGGGCACGGGGGSCCUACGGGGYGCACCAGGCGCGCAAACUUUACAAUGCGAGCAAUCGUGAUAAGGAAACCCUGAGUGCCUGUCGAUGCAGGCUGUUCAUAUAUCUAAAUCAUAUGUGAAGAAAGGGCAGUGCAASWMCGGUGC